Molecule: ribosomal RNA, 468 nt
Filed under: uncultured bacterium
Lineage: Bacteria
Description: partial 16S ribosomal RNA
Rfam family: Bacterial small subunit ribosomal RNA
Source: RNAcentral
GACGAACGCUGGCGGCGUGCUUAACACAUGCAAGUCGAACGGAAAGGCCCUGCUUUUGUGGGGUGCUCGAGUGGCGAACGGGUGAGUAACACGUGAGUAACCUGCCCUUGACUUUGGGAUAACUUCAGGAAACUGGGGCUAAUACCGGAUAGGAGCUCCUGCUGCAUGGUGGGGGUUGGAAAGUUUCGGCGGUUGGGGAUGGACUCGCGGCUUAUCAGCUUGUUGGUGGGGUAGUGGCUUACCAAGGCUUUGACGGGUAGCCGGCCUGAGAGGGUGACCGGCGACAAUGGGACUGAGAUACGGACCAGAAUCCUACGGGACGCAGCAGUGGGGAAUCUUGCACAAUGGGUGGAAGCGUGAUGCAGCAACGCUGCGUGCGGGAUGCCGGCCUUCGGGUUGUGAACCGCUUUCGCCUGUGACGAAGAGUGAGUGACGGUAAUGGGUAAAGAAGCGCCGGCUAACUACGUG